RNAcentral lists this ribosomal RNA (506 nucleotides) under uncultured bacterium. Its description in RNAcentral is "bacterial SSU rRNA". It matches the Rfam family "Bacterial small subunit ribosomal RNA", at positions 1 to 518 of the family's 1533-position model. The record is from RNAcentral.
ACGUACGUCUACGAGAGUUAGUUAGACUAUGGCUCAGGACAACGCUGGCGGCGUGCUUCAUACAUGCAAGUCGAACGAGAAGCUGGACUUCGGUCAGUGGAAAGUGGCGGACGGGUGAGUAACACGUAGGAAAUCUGCCCUUUGGAGGGGGACAACAGUUGGAAACGACUGCUAAUACCCCAUAUGAGCUAAGCUGAAAUGCUUAUCUUGAAAACUCCGGUGCCAAAGGAUGAGCCUGCGCCUGAUUAGCUAGUUGGUGGUGUAAUGGACUACCAAGGCGACGAUCAGUAGCUGGUUUGAGAGGAUGAUCAGCCACAAUGGGACUGAGACACGGCCCAUACUCCUACGGGAGGCAGCAGUAGGGAAUUUUGCGCAAUGGGGGAAACCCUGACGCAGCAACGCCGCGUGAUUGAUGAAGCCCUUCGGGGUGUAAAGAUCUGUCAGUAGGGACGAAUUUUGACGGUACCUACAGAGGAAGCACCGGCUAACUCCGUGCCAGCCGCGGC